GCUUGUGUGUCAGUAUUUUAUUGGUCAAUUGACCAACUUACACCAAAAUAAACUUCAUACUAACCACUUCUGUUGGGCCAUAAUACUUUAGACAUGUUGGGUAGGUCUUGAAAGUAUUUGGCUGGUUCAUUGGGCCGACCUGGUGAGUGGAUAAUAUCUUUAUUUGGGGCCUAUGGAGUAUUGGGCUGGAGCAGUGGGCCGAUCCAUUGGAUAAGUAUAGUUCCACUUGGGCUUUGACUAGUGAUGAUUAUGGGGAUAGAACUUUGACUGUCAUCUCUGCCUUAUAUUUAAUGAGGAUUGGACAGGGCUUAGUCGGCUAAAGACUGUGGGCCCGGGAAGUCAGUUGCAUACAGGACAAACCAGACUUUGGAGUAUACAAAAGCAAGGAUCACACGCAAUCUAAAGGUAACAAACAAAUCACUGAACUAAACUAUUAUUCUUUCUCAAGCACUAGACAUAUUAUUUUCCUCCAUUGUUAACCUUGUGAUCGCCGAUACUGACUCUUACACCGGAGCUAUCCUCCGACGGUCAAGCCGUCAAGCUUUUGGUGUUGACUUGUUGAACUGUGCAGGAUAUCGGACACGUCUUGGUGAUUGGGACGUGAGAAAAGAUCUUGGCGUUAACAUUGACGCUAGAAGGAGGGCUUAGUUCUAGUGUCCUGAAUAUUUUCAAUCACAAGUUGUAGGGGUGAUAACCGAGCCAAGUAGUUCGGUAUUCGACUCGAGAUCGGCUCGAAAAUAUGAUCCAAAACUCGAAUUCGAAGUUGAUCCGAGUCGAAUCUGAUCCAUACUCGUUUUCUGUUUAAUGAUACACGAGUCGAACUCGAGCAGACCAGUGUUCGCUCAUAUUAAGGUUCGAGUAUUUCAUUUUUUCUCAAACCAUACUCGAUACCUGCUUGAUGGAUCAUAUUCGAAUAUUGGUCUGAUCCAUACUAGUAUGCUAAAUAUGUGAUAUUUGUAUCAAUCUUUAUAAUUUAUAAAGUGUUGUAUGAAAUUGUGUAAACUUGUA
This 1008-nucleotide long non-coding RNA is filed under the name Panax ginseng (ginseng). Its description in RNAcentral is "long non-coding RNA (PGIN_LNC003183)". The record is from RNAcentral. Lineage: Eukaryota; Viridiplantae; Streptophyta; Magnoliopsida; Apiales; Araliaceae.